This 69-nucleotide transfer RNA is filed under the name Hylastes attenuatus. RNAcentral's name for it is "tRNA-Met". Lineage: Eukaryota; Metazoa; Arthropoda; Insecta; Coleoptera; Curculionidae. The record is from RNAcentral.
AAAAAGAUAAGCUAAAUAAAGCUAAUGGGUUCAUACCCCAUUUAUAAAGGUGCCCCCCUUUUCUUUUUA